CUUCCGGAGCUAACGCGUUAAGUAGACCGCYUGGGGAGUACGGCCGCAAGGUUAAAACUCAAAUGAAUUGACGGGGGCCCGCACAAGCGGUGGAGCAUGUGGUUUAAUUCGAUGCAACGCGAAGAACCUUACCUGGUCUUGACAUCCACGGAAGWWUUCAGAGAUGRRWWUGUGCCUUCGGGAACCGUGAGACAGGUGCUGCAUGGCUGUCGUCAGCUCGUGUUGUGAAAUGUUGGGUUAAGUCCCGCAACGAGCGCAACCCUUAUCCUUUGUUGCCAGCGAUUAGGUCGGGAACUCAAAGGAGACUGCCAGUGAUAAACUGGAGGAAGGUGGGGAUGACGUCAAGUCAUCAUGGCCCUUACGACCAGGGCUACACACGUGCUACAAUGGCGCAUACAAAGAGAAGCGACCUCGCGAGAGCAAGCGGACCUCAUAAA
RNAcentral lists this ribosomal RNA (437 nucleotides) under Salmonella enterica. Its description in RNAcentral is "bacterial SSU rRNA". Lineage: Bacteria; Pseudomonadati; Pseudomonadota; Gammaproteobacteria; Enterobacterales; Enterobacteriaceae. The record is from RNAcentral.